UACGGGGGGGGCAAGCGUUGUUCGGAAUUACUGGGCGUAAAGGGUUCGUAGGUGGCCGGCUCAGUCAGACGUGAAAUCCCUCAGCUCAACUGAGGAACUGCGUCUGAUACUAGUCGGCUUGAGUGCAGGAGAGGAACGCGGAAUUCCAGGUGUGGCGGUGAAAUGCGUAGAUAUCUGGAGGAACACCGGUGGCGAAGGCGGCGUUCUGGACUGCAACUGACACUGAGGAACGAAAGCCAGGGGAGCAAACGGG
RNAcentral lists this unclassified non-coding RNA (253 nucleotides) under uncultured Acidobacteriota bacterium. RNAcentral describes it as "uncultured Acidobacteria bacterium contains 16S-23S intergenic spacer region". It matches the Rfam family "Bacterial small subunit ribosomal RNA", at positions 524 to 776 of the family's 1533-position model. Lineage: Bacteria; Pseudomonadati; Acidobacteriota. The record is from RNAcentral.